UUCUUCUUUAGCUCCUU
RNAcentral lists this small RNA (17 nucleotides) under Arabidopsis thaliana (thale cress). Its description in RNAcentral is "ATSL244720". The record is from RNAcentral. Lineage: Eukaryota; Viridiplantae; Streptophyta; Magnoliopsida; Brassicales; Brassicaceae.